UACGGAGGGUGCAAGCGUUGUUCGGAAUUACUGGGCGUAAAGCGCGCGUAGGCGGAUCUGUAUGUCGGAUGUGAAAGCCCCAGGCUUAACCUGGGAAUUGCAUCCGAAACUGCAGACCUUGAAUGCUUGAGAGGAUGACGGAAUUCCUGGUGUAGAAGUGAAAUUCGUAGAUAUCAGGAGGAGCACCGGAGGCGAAGGCGGUUGUCUGGCGAUGCAUUGACGCUGAGGUGCGAAAGCGCGGGGAGCAAACAGG
This 253-nucleotide ribosomal RNA is filed under the name uncultured bacterium. RNAcentral's name for it is "partial 16S ribosomal RNA". It matches the Rfam family "Bacterial small subunit ribosomal RNA", at positions 524 to 776 of the family's 1533-position model. The record is from RNAcentral.